Molecule: long non-coding RNA, 779 nt
Organism: Homo sapiens (human)
Lineage: Eukaryota; Metazoa; Chordata; Mammalia; Primates; Hominidae
Product: long intergenic non-protein coding RNA 1120
Source: Ensembl
GGGUUUCAACUGCCACCUGGGAGACUGCUGGUAAAGAUGGGAGGUGGCCUUUGCCGCUUUCCAUCUUCUCACUGCAGUUUCUUCACGUGGGCCACUUGUACUUAAAAUGUCUUCUUAAUUUAUUCUUUUUACUUCCCCAGCUCCAAUUUGUCUACAGAUUUACAAAUUUGUUUUAUAGUUUUAUGACUCAAUUUGUAUUUUCGGUCCUAUGAAGCUUUUUGCCUUAAAUAUUUUUCUCUGUUUAUAAGAAUGUGCUGUUUCCUAGGCCAGUUUUGUACACACUCUUCCAUAGAAUAGAUCCAGAAGAAACACAACAAUACUGCCUUCAUCAUAUCAGGAGAUCUUGAUACCAAAUACGAGUGUUGCCUCCAAGAUGCAAGAUCCUGAGGGCUCCAAAGAAUCCACUGUCCGUCACAAAUCGACGGUCCGCCAGCUCAGUUUCAGAGACGUGGUGCUCCGCUGCAGGCCUCAUCCUCAGGUGCACCCUGGCAGUCAGCCAUCUGAAGGUACUAUGGAAAUUCAGUUACUCACUCUUGGGAGCAGAAGGAUUCCAGACCAUUCCUGUGUGCACCCUGGCAGGGAGCCAUCUGAAGGUACUGUAGAAAUUCAGUUACUCACCCUUGCAAGCAUAAGGAUUCCAGAUUCUUCAGGGUCCCAAACUUCAGAUAACUCUAAAAUUGCUACACUAUAUUCUUCUUUAUUUCAUGUGUGCCAAUUUAAAUGUACAAGUCAAUCACUAGUGCUACAAAUGCAGAAGUAAAGAUGUAUUUCCACUUCAA